UCUCUCUCUCUCUUUCAGAAGCAUGCAACUAAGUUCACUGCAUAUUAACACACACAACUUCAGCUUUCGAUGAGAACGAGGGAUUCCCUCUUCAAUAUCUGUUAUUUUGGUUUUUUGGUCAGGUGGGUACCUUGUUUUGUUUUGGUUUGUUGGGUAUAUGCUUCAGGUUUCCAUGCUGAAAUUCUUUCAAGAUCACAUUUUUUUCUAUACCAGAUUUGUUUUACUUUAGCAUUUUUAAUUAACUGUUUGGUGGGUCUUUUACUAAUCCCUGAAAUGUAUAGUGCCUUUUCUUUGAACUUUUUUAUGAAAAUGAGAAAUGCAUCAUUUUCUUUUCUAGGAUUUGAGUUAGGUGGAUUCAUGUGUUAUUUAGUCUUGUUAAGGUUUCAAAAGCUGAAUAUGUCUCGGGUCUAAACAAAUGAGCGCAUUUCAAUAGCGUUUUUGGAAGGAACUAUAUUUUCUUUUGCUUUUGCCAAUGAAAUUCAAAUAUUGAGGUUUCGGGGCUGGUUAAAGUCCAAUCUUGCGUUCAUAAUCUUCAAAGAGAAACUUCUCGGUGUCUUCCAUUGAAGUUGCAGGUUCUGGAGUUUAAUAUUUGAUGCUUCCACUUUGUCCACCACUUGAAUGAUCGAUGGCUCAGGAGGAUGAUCCAUAUCCAUCAAUGGAGAAGAGAACAUCUUUAUGCAUUUUCUUUAAGGAUUUCAGACAUGUUCUUAAACCAGAUGAACUUGGGUUAGAAAUUGCACGUAUAGCAUUGCCUGCAGCGCUGGCUUUAACAGCUGACCCUAUUGCCUCUAUGGUGGACACAGCAUUUAUAGGCCGAAUAGGCCCAGUAGAACUAGCUGCUGUUGGAGUUUCUAUU
Molecule: unclassified non-coding RNA, 856 nt
Filed under: Hevea brasiliensis (rubber tree)
Lineage: Eukaryota; Viridiplantae; Streptophyta; Magnoliopsida; Malpighiales; Euphorbiaceae
Source: RNAcentral